AGGCCCUGAGCUCUGUGGGCCCCAGGUGCCCCAGGAAAACUUGGGGGAGAAUGGGCAUCCCACCCCAGCACUUUCUAGGAAGGAGGGCAGCAUUUUGAAGGGCUGGAAGUAGAGGAAGGAGGUUGCGGGUAGAAGACUCCAUACUUUCUGUGAUGCCUAUUCCUUAGGUAGGAACUUAGGAACCUCAGUCAGAGGCGUGGCUUGCCUGGGCCCCUGGGUGCAGCUGCACAGAUUCAAGCAGCCUGAAGGAAAGGUGACUGACAGCUAAUGAUCUGAAAAGAACUUGUCUCAACUCAACGUCAUUCCUGGCAUUAUCGAACAAAGCAAUAAACCUCACAGAAUGGAAGCUACAGUGUCCAGGGCCAGCUCUGCUAAGGUAACCAAAGACAGAGAAGGAGGCAAAAGUGACAGAAGAAGCUCAUGGGAAACCAACAGAAAUGUAAUGGCUUUGGCAGAAAUGCAAUUAUCAAUUGGGAGCUUGAGAUGAAUGUUUUCUCAGUAUCCUAUGCUGAAAACAGGUAGAUACUAAUAUCGAUCUUCAAGGGAGGGCUGUUGAGUUUUGAAUAAGACAAAAACAUGGAAGCAAUCAGCACCAUGCUGGUAAGCAGAGGCAUAUCAUAAAAAUCAGUCUGUCUGGUUUUUUUUUUUUGAUGUAACAAAUAAAAUUGGGAAAUAAAUAUUUGAUUCAUGUAGUGGGGGCUGAAUUGCAUCUCCUCAAAUUCAUGUGUUGAAGUCCUUGCUCCCAAUACCUUAGAGUGUGAGUAUAUUUGAAGAUAGGGUCCUUAAAGAGGUCAUUAAGAUAAAAGUAGAUCAUAUGGAUGGGCCCCAAUCCAAUACGACUGGUGUCUUUACAAGAGGAGAUUAAGACACAGACACACACAGAAGGAAGACCAGGUGAAGAUAGCAAGAAGGCAGCUGUCAGCAAGCCCAGGAGAGAGGCCUCCAAAGGAACAAACCCUGCCGGCACCUUGUUCUCAACUUCCAACCUCCAGAACUGUGAAACAUAUUUUUGGGAUUAAGUCACCCAGUCUCUGGCACUUUAUUACUGCAGCCCCAGCAAACUAAGACAGUCAUUCAAAGCAUUACCAUGUUUUAUAAUUUUUAAGUUGUUUUCCAUGACGAAUGUAGCACUAGCCUUUGGGCAAAUUGGCUUUCCAGAACCUCAGUUACAGAUUGAUCUGUUCACCCCUUACAUGAUAGAAGAGAAAAUGUAGAACCAGAAGACUUAGGUGACUUAUCUAAGAUCACCCCAACCUGCGUUUGGUGGCCUCCUGCUGCCAUCACUGGAGGAUCAAAAAUAGAUAUUGGAUUGCUUUGAAAAGAUGGCUGUUAAACGGAUAUUUGGGUUCUAAGGAAUACAGUUUUAAACCCAAAUGUCCCAUCUAUUACCAGUUAAUGAUGUUUGCCUCAGAAUUCAUUCCCACCCGCUUACCCCCACCAAGAACCUCCCAGCCUUUCGGUUUAAUGUGAGGCACAGCCCUUUCCUCCAGCACUCCUGCCCUCUCAGCUCAGCAUUUACCACCAAGUGAUUCCGAGAGCUAGGAACACUUCCUGCCAAGGACUGUCUCUUUCACUGCUACAAGGUAAAGUUCAACGGGCUUUACUAUUUAUAUAUAAGACCUGAAGCCUGGCCUAAACCCACCAUUUCAGGCCAGUUCAGGGCAACUUGAGAGAGAGCAACUGGUGUCCACAGGAAACCACAAUUGGAAAAGGCAAUGGUUUUCAUUACAGUUUAAGGAAAAAAACCUCUUUUGUUUCAAAUUUUCUGGAAGACAUGAGGACACACACAAAAAAUGUGGCAUUAUAUAUGUCUGCCAUAGUAAACAUGAUACAAAGUGUGUAACUUACUCAAACAUAAUUUACUCUUCAGUUGAUGAUGCAGCAGUUUGAAGGGUCAUAUGUACAUGGAUGUUUAAUAAUCAUUUUGUCUUAAAUUGAGCACUUAGUAUGUGCCAGACACUGUGAUCUGUGUUUAAUUAUAGUCUCUCAUUUAAUCCUUGCAAUAACUCUGAGACUGUUGCUCUUUUAAUGCCAUUUUACCCACAGAGGAACAAAAGCUAAGAAACAUUAAGUGACUCGUCCAAGGUCACUUUAUGGGGAUGACGUAGAGCUAGAGUUCAAAUUCACGUGUACAUGACUCCAAAGCCCUGAAAGUGCUCUAAAUUAGAGUUAUAGUAAGUUUGGAGUUUGGGUUGAUGGACAACAUCCCUAAGACAUUCUUGAUCCCACAGGAAUCAAGCUAUCUGUAAUCACAGGGCUAUUUGAAAAAGAGAAGAAAAGGUGUCUUGAAAUUCAACCAACAUGUUUCAAUUAUUUGCUCCUAAGAACAACAGAAGUUUCAACAUUCUGCCAACAAAGUAACUCCUGGAAGAUUGGCACAGAAGAAGGCACAAGGAGAGCCUUUAUAUAACCAAAGAUAUUUUUGGACCAUGAAUUCGGAAAUUCUCGGAGCCACCCAUCAGUGCCUGAGCUUCAGUGAGUCCAUAUCCCAUGUCACCCACGGCAAAGGAGAAUCUAAGACUUCUGAAGAGUUUCUUGCUUCUUUCCUGUGGGGCAGUGACUCCACUUCCCAGCAGUAAUGGAAUAUCCUGAAUUAGCUACAUUAAUGUUAGAACCAUUUGGACCUCACCCAGGACUUCAACUACAUUAUGGUUCUAGUAUGUUAGGUUUAUGUUCCCCUGCUUUCUACAAUCCUGUUCAAAGAGUUGCUGACUUAACCACAGAGAGGAUUCCAGAACAUGAGACACAGAAUAAACUUGAGCAAUCAUAGUCCAUCCACUUCAUUUUCUCAUCAAAAACCAAAGGUCCAGUGAAGCUCUGGAACUCAACGCUGUAAAGGAGCGAAGGAGCUUCUAUACAGAGCCUGGAUGCCUGUCUCCUUAUCCUACUUCAGUGGACUUGACUGCAAUCCGGACUAUGCUGUUUUCUAAGCAUUUAAAAUAAAAUAAAAAGUGUAA
Molecule: long non-coding RNA, 2957 nt
Organism: Pan troglodytes (chimpanzee)
Lineage: Eukaryota; Metazoa; Chordata; Mammalia; Primates; Hominidae
Exons: 5
Source: RefSeq, a predicted model, not a curated record